RNAcentral lists this ribosomal RNA (469 nucleotides) under uncultured bacterium. RNAcentral's name for it is "partial 16S ribosomal RNA". It matches the Rfam family "Bacterial small subunit ribosomal RNA", at positions 354 to 812 of the family's 1533-position model. The record is from RNAcentral.
UGGGGGAAUUUUGGACAAUGGGCGAAAGCCUGAUCCAGCAAUGCCGCGUGUGUGAAGAAGGCCUUCGGGUUGUAAAGCACUUUUGUCCGGAAAGAAAUCCUCUGGGUUAAUACCUCGGGGGGAUGACGGUACCGGAAGAAUAAGCACCGGCUAACUACGUGCCAGCAGCCGCGGUAAUACGUAGGGUGCAAGCGUUAAUCGGAAUUACUGGGCGUAAGCGUGCGCAGGCGGUUUUGUAAGACGGAUGUGAAAUCCCCGGGCUUAACCUGGGAACUGCAUUCGUGACUGCAAGGCUAGAGUAUGGCAGAGGGGGGUUAGAAUUCCACGUGUGAGCAGUGAAAUGCGUAGAGAUGUGGAGGAAUACCGAUGGCGAAGGCAGCCCCCUGGGCCAAAUACUGACGCUCAUGCACGAAAGCGUGGGGGAGCAAACAGGAUUAGAUACCCUGGUAGUCCACGCCCUAAACGAUGU